GGAGCAAAAUGUCAGCCAUCUAAGCACCCUGUAACCCUCCGGGUGGCACAGGGCUGGAUGGGGCAUUCGUAUAGCAGGGACGGUGCUGCCUCUCACUUCGCUCGUUGUCCGCCGCUCGCCGCUCACUCGCUCAGCCAAAAAUGGCCUGUUUUGGCCCGUUUUGCCCCGUUUUGGCCAGUUUUUGGGCAGUUCUUGCUUGCCGCGGCGAACGACAUGAGCGGAUCAAAACGUCAGCCAUCUUAGCAUCCUAAAACACCCCGGGUGGCACAGGGCUGGAUGGGGCAUUCGUAUAGCAGGGACGGUGCUGCCUCUCCCUUCGCUCACUAUCCGCCGCUCGCCGCUCGAUCGCUCAGCCAAAAAUGGCCAGUUUUGGCCCUUUUUUGGGCCGUUUUGGCUAGUUUUUGGGCAAUUCUUGGGUGUCGCGGCGAACGUCGUGAGCGGAGCAAAAUGGCAUCCAUCUCAACACCCUGGAACCCCCGGGUGGCAAAGGGCUGGAUGGGACAUUCGUAUAGCAGGGACAAUGCUGCCUCUCGCUUCGCUCGCUGUCCACCACUCGCCGCUCGCUCGCUCAAGCAAAGAUGGCCAAUUUUGGUCCGUUUUUUGGCCGUUUUGGCCAGUUUCUGGGGAGUUCUUGCAUGCCGCGGCGAACGACGUGAGCGGAGCAAAAUGUCAGCCAUCUCAGCACCCUGGUCAAAGCAUGCCCAUGCUCUGGAUACAUUAGCAUCGGAUAACAUCAUAGGAUUUCGGUCCUAUUGUGUUGGCCGUCGGGAUCGGAGUAAAGAUUAAGAGGGACAGUUGGGGGCAUUCGUAUUUCAUGGUCAGAGGUAAAAUUCUUGGAUUUAUGAAAGACGAACCACUGCGAAAGCAUUUGCUAAGGAUGUUUUCAUUAAUCAAGAACGAAGUUGGGGUCUCGAAGACAAUCAGAUACCGUCCUAGUCUCAACCGUAAACGAUGCCGACCAGGGAUCGACGGAUGUUGCUCUUAGGACUCCGCCGGCACCUUAUGAGAAAUCAAAGUCUUUGGGUUUCGGGGGGAGUAUGGUCGCAAGGCUGAAACUUAAAGGAAUUGACAGAAGGGCACCACCAGGAGUGGAGCCUGCGGCUUAAUUUGACUCAACACGGAGAAACUUACCAGGUCCAGACAUAGCAAGGAUUGACAUAUUGAGAGCUCUUUCAUGAUUCUAUGGGUGGUGGUGCAUGGCCAUUCUUAGUUGGUCGAGCGAUUUGUCUGGUUAAUUCUGAUAAUGAACGAGACCUCAGCCAGCGAACUAGCUACGUAGAGGCAUCCCUCCGCGGACAGCUUCUUCGAGGGACUAUGGCCGUUUAGGCCACGGAAGUUUGAGGUAAUAACAGGUCUGUGAUGCCCUUAGAUGUUCUGGGCCACACGCACGCUACACUGAUGUAUUCAACGAGUCUAUAGCCUUGGCCGAUAGGCCCGGGUAAUUUUGAAAAUUUCAUCGUGAUGGGGAUAGAUCAUUACAAUUGUUGGUCUUCAACGAGGAAUUCCUAGUAAGCGCGAGUCAUCAGCUCGGUUUGACUAUGUCCCUGCCCUUUGUACACACCGCCCAUCACUCCUACCGAUUGAAUGGUCCGGUGAAGUGUUCGGAUCGAGGCGACGGGGGUGGUUCGCCACCCGCGACGUCGUGAGAAGUCCAGUGAACCUUAUCAUUUAGAGGAAGGAGAAGUCGUAACAAGGUUUCCGUAGGUGAACCUGUGGAAG
Molecule: ribosomal RNA, 1719 nt
Filed under: Musa schizocarpa
Lineage: Eukaryota; Viridiplantae; Streptophyta; Magnoliopsida; Zingiberales; Musaceae
Description: SSU rRNA
Rfam family: Eukaryotic small subunit ribosomal RNA (bases 464-1719)
Source: RNAcentral